This 1341-nucleotide ribosomal RNA is filed under the name Triticum aestivum (bread wheat). RNAcentral's name for it is "partial small subunit ribosomal RNA". Lineage: Eukaryota; Viridiplantae; Streptophyta; Magnoliopsida; Poales; Poaceae. The record is from RNAcentral.
CUGCAGACGCCGGAUCUCCCGGAUUAUCUAAUACCAAGACUAAAGAUGCAGUUCCAAGAUGUAGAGAAAGCAAGGGAAUUUUAUAACAGAUACGCCAGACACGUUGGUUUUCGAAUCAGGAAGGGGGGGGAUGACAACCACAAGUAUUUUGUUUGCGCAUUCCAAGGGAUACACACAUCUUCUGUUUCAGAGGCUAACAUGAAGCGAAACAAAACAUCACAGAGGAAAAGCUGCAAUGCAAGAAUGAGGGUGAAGGUGCAGGAGGAUAACACAGUGUGGGUGGACAUUGAGUACAAUCAUAAUCAUCAGCUCAUGCAAACUGAUGACAUGCUGGUAUUCUUGCACUCGCACAAGAAUUAUGACCCCACUAUUUUGGAGUACGUAAAGCUCCUGCAGUACCAUGAUGUCAAGCACACAACAAUCAUGUCCAUGCUAUCUGAAAAUGAAGAUGGAAGCUACUUCCUAAGCAUGACCGGACGAGACCUACUAAACCAAAAAGCCAUGAAUGCAAGGAAAGAUGAUUUGGAUGAUGUAUUGAAACUUGUUUCAUUCUUCAAAGACAUGAAGGCAAUCAAUGAUGAGUUUUUCUAUGACAUACAAGUAGACAAGGACAAGUCAAUUAAAAACAUUUUCUAGUCCAAUGCAAGCUGCUGAGGAGCCUAUCAAGACUUUGGCGAUUAUGUAAUAUUCGACACAACUUACAAGACCAACAGAUUUCAUAUGCCUCUGGGAGUGUUUGUUGGAACAAACCAUCACUUGCAGUCAACGAUAUUUGCUGUUGCCCUGAUCAGAGACGAAGAUGCAAAGUCAUUCAAGUGGUUGUUCGAUACAUUUGUACGGUGCAUGAACAACAAGCACCCAACUUGCAUUCUAAUAGACCAGUGCCCGUCGAUGGCGAAAGCUAUACCACAAUCAUUUCCAAACACCAUCCACAAGCUAUGCCGUUGGCACAUCAUGAAGAAGUACAGGGAAUACCUCGCGUUGCUGUACAAAAAGUAUAAAACAUUCAAAGAGGAGUUCACAGCUAUUUUAAACUGGCCGCUGAUGCCAACGGAGUUUGAAGCUGCCUGGGCUGAACUCAUGCACAAUUACAACCUGGAGAACGACCAGAUGAUGAUCCAGCUGUGGAGUGAUAGGAAAAUGUGGAUUUCGGCAUAUUACAAGAACAGUUUCUGUGCUAGAAUGACUUCAACACAACGAAGCGAGAGCAUGAACCACGUGCUCAAGAAAGGGUUUGUCAAGGGGACCCAGAACCUACACAAGUUUGCUAGGCGGAUAAAUGCUUGCAUACAAACUUGGAUGCAGAAGGAGAAUGAGCAAACGAUGACCAGCAUGGUAUGA